AUUGAACGCUGGCGGCAUGCCUUACACAUGCAAGUCGAACGGUAACAGGUCUUCGGAUGCUGACGAGUGGCGAACGGGUGAGUAAUACAUCGGAACGUGCCCGAGAGUGGGGGAUAACGAGGCGAAAGCUUUGCUAAUACCGCAUACGAUCUCAGGAUGAAAGCAGGGGACCGCAAGGCCUUGCGCUCACGGAGCGGCCGAUGGCAGAUUAGGUAGUUGGUGGGAUAAAAGCUUACCAAGCCGACGAUCUGUAGCUGGUCUGAGAGGACGACCAGCCACACUGGGACUGAGGCACGGCCCAGACUCCUACGGGAGGCAGCAGUGGGGAAUUUUGGACAAUGGGCGCAAGCCUGAUCCAGCCAUGCCGCGUGCAGGAUGAAGGCCUUCGGGUUGUAAACUGCUUUUGUACGGAACGAAAAGACUCUGGUUAAUACCUGGGGUCCAUGACGGUACCGUAAGAAUAAGCACCGGCUAACUACGUGCCAGCCGCCGCCGUAA
RNAcentral lists this ribosomal RNA (498 nucleotides) under uncultured bacterium. RNAcentral describes it as "partial 16S ribosomal RNA". It matches the Rfam family "Bacterial small subunit ribosomal RNA", at positions 30 to 523 of the family's 1533-position model. The record is from RNAcentral.